This 237-nucleotide ribosomal RNA is filed under the name Citrobacter amalonaticus. RNAcentral's name for it is "partial 16S ribosomal RNA". It matches the Rfam family "Bacterial small subunit ribosomal RNA", at positions 1 to 234 of the family's 1533-position model. The record is from RNAcentral. Lineage: Bacteria; Pseudomonadati; Pseudomonadota; Gammaproteobacteria; Enterobacterales; Enterobacteriaceae.
AAAUUGAAGAGUUUGAUCAUGGCUCAGAUUGAACGCUGGCGGCAGGCCUAACACAUGCAAGUCGAACGGUAACAGGAAGCAGCUUGCUGCUUCGCUGACGAGUGGCGGACGGGUGAGUAAUGUCUGGGAAACUGCCCGAUGGAGGGGGAUAACUACUGGAAACGGUAGCUAAUACCGCAUAACGUCGCAAGACCAAAGAGGGGGACCUUCGGGCCUCUUGCCAUCGGAUGUGCCCAG